UUGGAGGGCAAGUCUGGUGCCAGCAGCCGCGGUAAUUCCAGCUCCAAUAGCGUAUAUUAAAGUUGUUGCAGUUAAAAAGCUCGUAGUUGAAUUUCGGGAUUCAUCCGUUGGUCGGGCCUCACGGUCCGUACUGGUGUGAUGGGUUCCUACCUUCUGAAUAACCGGCAUGUCAUUAAUUUGGUGGGCCGGGGAAGCAGAACUAUUACCUUGAAAAAAUUAGAGUGCUUAAAGCAGGCAAGUGCCUGAAUAGGUUAGCAUGGAAUAAUAAAAUAGGACGGCAUGGUUCUAUUUUGUUGGUUUCUAGGAUCACCGUAAUGAUUAAUAGGGAUAGUUGGGGGCAUUAGUAUUCAAUUGUCAGAGGUGAAAUUCUUGGAUUUAUUGAAGACUAACUUCUGCGAAAGCAUUUGCCAAGGAUGUUUUCGUUAAUCAAGAACGAAAGUUAGGGGAUCGAAGACGAUCAGAUACCGUCGUAGUCUUAACCAUAAACUAUGCCGACUAGGGAUCGGACGAUGUUAAUUUUUUAAUGACUCGUUCGGCGCCUUACGGGAAA
RNAcentral lists this ribosomal RNA (550 nucleotides) under uncultured Glomeromycotina. RNAcentral describes it as "SSU rRNA". It matches the Rfam family "Eukaryotic small subunit ribosomal RNA", at positions 548 to 1097 of the family's 1831-position model. Lineage: Eukaryota; Fungi; Glomeromycota. The record is from RNAcentral.